This is a long non-coding RNA of Passer domesticus (house sparrow), 633 nucleotides long. RefSeq lists it as uncharacterized. The transcript is spliced from 4 exons. The record is from RefSeq and is a predicted model, not a curated record. Lineage: Eukaryota; Metazoa; Chordata; Aves; Passeriformes; Passeridae.
AUCAUGGCUGUUCAGCCUAGACAAAGGAAGCCCCCAGGGAGACCUCAGUGAAGCCUUUUAGAUCUUACAGAGGAGUUGUAAGAAAGAUGGGGACAAACAUUUUAGCAGGACCUAUUGCAAUAGGAAAAGAAGUAAUUACUUCAAAUUAGAAGAGGAUACACAUACAUAUUUUGUGGAAAAUAAACCAUUUUUCUACAGAUGGCAAGACAUAGUACCAAUUACUAAGUUCUGCAAAUUAAGUGAUUAGGAAGAUUCAUGACUCAGUCCCUUGAUCUGUGUCUGCAGCUAAUCAAACCCAUGAAAACAUCAUCUACAGGCUGUUCCACCUAAUUCCAUCCCAAAUUAAAACCAAAGGGACUAAAGAUUUAAGAUGACCUAAAUUAAUGAGAAUGACUUUACGACCUCCUGGACACAUAAUCAGGUACUCACCACUACAGGCCACUCAUUCCUAGGAGUCAGCAGCACUGCAUCUACUGUAUCUGUAUUAUCCAACCUAAGUGUACAAAACUUCCUCAACUAAAGAAUAAAUAGAUCCACACUGGAGAAGAACAUCCCAGAGGACUUUACAAAUUCAGCUACUACUUUAAAUUACCAAGCUAAUAGAAUAAACCUGACAAUUUCUCUAAAAAACUU